RNAcentral lists this ribosomal RNA (500 nucleotides) under uncultured bacterium. Its description in RNAcentral is "partial 16S ribosomal RNA". It matches the Rfam family "Bacterial small subunit ribosomal RNA", at positions 29 to 523 of the family's 1533-position model. The record is from RNAcentral.
AUUGAACGCUGGCGGCAUGCCUUACACAUGCAAGUCGAACGGCAGCACGGGAGCAAUCCUGGUGGCGAGUGGCGAACGGGUGAGUAAAGUAUCGGAACGUGCCCAGUCGUGGGGGAUAACGUAGCGAAAGUUACGCUAAUACCGCAUACGAUCUAUGGAUGAAAGCGGGGGAUCGCAAGACCUCGCGCGAUUGGAGCGGCCGAUAUCAGAUUAGGUAGUUGGUGGGGUAAAGGCUCACCAAGCCGACGAUAUGGAGCGGGUCUGAGAGGACAACCAGCCACACUGGGACUGAGACACGGCCCAGAUUCCUACGGGAGGCAGCAGUGGGGAAUUUUGGACAAUGGGCGAAAGCCUGAUCCAGCCAUGCCGCGUGCAGGAUGAAGGCCUUCGGGUUGUAAACUGCUUGUGUACGGAACGAAAAGGUUUGGGCUAAUAAGCUGAGCUCAUGACGGUACCGUAAGAAUAAGCACCGGCUAACUACGUGCCAGCCGCCGCCGUAA